GACGGAGGGCGUGGGUGUUAUUCGUUUUGAUUGGGUGUAAAGGGUACGUAGGCGGCUUAAAGUUAUUUGGCAAAAAUCGCGGAGUGUUCCUAUGCAGAUGCCUUUGAUAAAAUAAGCUUGGUGUCGGGAAUAGGUAGGGGCAAAUUCUCAUGUAGGGGUAAAAUCCUACCAUAUGAGAAUGAACGUCAGCUGGCGAAGGCGCCUUUCCGGCCCCGACAGACGCUAAGGUACGGAAGCUUAGGGAGCAAACGGG
Molecule: ribosomal RNA, 253 nt
Filed under: uncultured bacterium
Lineage: Bacteria
Description: partial 16S ribosomal RNA
Rfam family: Bacterial small subunit ribosomal RNA
Source: RNAcentral